Molecule: ribosomal RNA, 497 nt
Filed under: uncultured bacterium
Lineage: Bacteria
Description: partial 16S ribosomal RNA
Rfam family: Bacterial small subunit ribosomal RNA
Source: RNAcentral
GAUGAACGCUGGCGGCGUGCCUAAUACAUGCAAGUCGAGCGAACAGACGAGGAGCUUGCUCCUCUGACGUUAGCGGCGGACGGGUGAGUAACACGUGGAUAACCUACCUAUAAGACUGGGAUAACUUCGGGAAACCGGAGCUAAUACCGGAUAAUAUAUUGAACCGCAUGGUUCAAUAGUGAAAGGCGGUUUUGCUGUCACUUAUAGAUGGAUCCGCGCCGCAUUAGCUAGUUGGUAAGGUAACGGCUUACCAAGGCAACGAUGCGUAGCCGACCUGAGAGGGUGAUCGGCCACACUGGAACUGAGACACGGUCCAGACUCCUACGGGAGGCAGCAGAAGGGAAUCUUCCGCAAUGGGCGAAAGCUUGACGGAGCAACGCCGCGUGAGUGAUGAAGGUCUUCGGAUCGUAAAACUCUGUUAUUAGGGAAGAACAAAUGUGUAAGUAACUAUGCACGUCUUGACGGUACCUAAUCAGAAAGCCACGGCUAACUACGCG